GACAGAGGAGCCAAGCGUUGUCCGGAUUGACUGGGCGUAAAGCGCACGCAGGCGGCUGGGCGCGUGCGGUGUGAAAGCGGGCCGCUUAACGGCUCGUCGCCACCGCAUACGGCCCGGCUUGAGGGCGGCAGAGGUUCGUGGAAUUGCCGGUGUAGUGGUGAAAUGCGUAGAGAUCGGCAGGAACACCAAGGGCGAAAGCAGCGAACUGGGCCGCAUCUGACGCUCAGGUGCGAAAGCGUGGGGAGCGAACCGG
Molecule: ribosomal RNA, 253 nt
Filed under: uncultured bacterium
Lineage: Bacteria
Description: partial 16S ribosomal RNA
Rfam family: Bacterial small subunit ribosomal RNA
Source: RNAcentral